This 2143-nucleotide unclassified non-coding RNA is filed under the name Cyanidioschyzon merolae strain 10D. Its description in RNAcentral is "hypothetical transcript". Lineage: Eukaryota; Rhodophyta; Bangiophyceae; Cyanidiales; Cyanidiaceae. The record is from RNAcentral.
AUGCGCAACGCCGAACCGUUUGAGAACACGGUUCCGCUGGAGGACGCCUCACAGGUCGAGAGACACCACACAAGUGUUUUCCGGGGACACGGAUACGGUGUAGCGUUUACAGUGGCGUACGGGUUUCACAGCUGCGCUGCGUCCGCAACGCCAUCACCUGCGGUCGGUUAAGCGCUCAAGCCCAGUCCCUCGGCGGGCUCACGACAAAAGCCAACCAAACUGGUACGUUGCUGCGAGGCACCUGCCUCACCCGCCAGGCACCCUGCAUUUCGAGCGACUGUAAAGGCCUGGUGAUGAGGAUCGGCGUACCGCGGUACGCCGAGCAGGGACAGCUACUGGCACCUCACAGGGGCAUGGCCUCGUUCCCAGUCCACGGGGCGGCACUGCCGUAGUCGCUGGAUGCGAGCGCCUCUGUGCGACUUGGCUUUCUGCGACUGGGGCCGCCACUGCGCUGAAACCGGCCCACGGGGCACGACUCCUGGCUCCGAGACAACCUGGGUCCUCGUUCAUUGACCCGUGCGGGACGUUUCCCCGUACGCUGCGCCAGCGCCGCCUUCGGGGCGUGACCAGUGCGAUGACUCUGGCGGCGCCCUGUUGAACGCUGCCCGUUCUUCCGAUGGAUGCACGUCGCCGACUUCGCUGGACUGUCGAUGGACGCAGAGCGAGCACCAACAACUGUUACAUCAUCACCGGAAUCUAUGGAAUCCUCGUCGGAUAACAGUACUCCGGGAGCGCUGGCACUCGCAGUUGGGUGCGCAUGUCGACUCGAUGCGCCAGGCAGCGCGUCGCGAGGCAACAUGCCGUCGCCAGAUAUCACAGCAGAGUCGCUUUGGUCGCCAUGAAUGGCUUGCCAAACGAGGGCAUCGGGGACCUGGCGAUCGGGAUUACGAGAACGGCGCCGUAGAGCUGCAAGUUCUGUCAAACUCUUUGGUGCUAUACGCACAAUGCUGUCGAUCUCUGUUGUCGAAAGGGCUGAGUCUGCCCGCAGGCCCUUGUGCUGCUUACACCAGCUUCGGCGGAGCUCCAGAAGACGAUUUCGAACUGAUUCUGCGUGCGACUUGGUGGUGUUCCCGAUCGAUACCGAAUCAUUGGUGUCUUCUGGGAAGGCAUCGGUGGCACCUGUUGCAGAUGCGACGCCCCGCUUGCGUCCUGAAGUAGCGCGCACCAUCUCUGAACGCAGCCGGAUCGCCUGAAGGCCGUGCUUGCCCCGUCGAACAAGCAGAUAAAUACGCCGUUCGUUACCGUAUAGUAAAUCGUGCACAAUCGGAGACUGGCUCCCCGGUACUGGACGCAAACAACCGCAGACGCCACCGUGCACUUCGUUGUGGUAGACCUCUUCAUGGAGAAUGUGCAGUCGCUCCAUCUCCGCGAGUAGACGAAAGAUGUCAUUGUCGUUGGCACCAGGCGGGGCGCUCCCGAAACCCGGUAUAUCCACGUCCGGUGAAGCGCCUACGGUAGUACGAAAGGAUUCGAAACCUCGCAGACCAGAGGCGAUCCUGGCCGAAGUUGGCGUUAUCCGCCGCACGUCCUGCAUCCAUUGCGCCAGUUGGUACGCACCGCGGGCCGUAGCCGUCCAGUCUUCCAUUUGACAGGGAGCCUGGUUCCGACAGUUAUCGCACGGCGGACUGCACGCUCGACGAUCGAAGCGUUCGCCAAAGUGAGCCAACACUGUCACGCGCCGGCAACUGACGUCGUCGAGACACCAGGCCGCCAUUCUCUUGACAGCGUCUUUCUGAAGCGAUAGCGCCGCUCUCGUGAGACCGUUCGAGUUCUUGUCGAUCAUGCCGAUCAGCCGCCGCUGAUCCGCAUGAGAGAAGAGUACAAUAGAGCGGGCGGGCUGACCGUCGCGCCCAGCGCGCCCGCUUUCCUGAUAGAAGCCCUCAACAUUCUUUGGCAUGGUGUAGUGAAUGACAAAGCGCACAUCCGGCUUAUCGAUGCCCAUGCCAAAGGCAAUGGUGGCGACAAUGACCUGCGUGGCCCGCCUCAUCCAACGUUGCUGGACCGCAAUGCGACUCUCGUCCGUGAGACCAGCGUGGUAGUGCUCCGCUGCGAUGCGAAACUGGCGUCGCAAUGCUUUCGCUACAUCCUCACACUCUUGCUUACUAAAACAGUAGAUAAUGCCUGAAGCACCGCGCGGCAUUUC